This 253-nucleotide ribosomal RNA is filed under the name uncultured bacterium. Its description in RNAcentral is "partial 16S ribosomal RNA". It matches the Rfam family "Bacterial small subunit ribosomal RNA", at positions 524 to 776 of the family's 1533-position model. The record is from RNAcentral.
GACGAACCGUGCGAACGUUGUUCGGAAUCACUGGGCUUAAAGGGCGCGUAGGCGGCCCCGCCAGUCUUGGGUGAAAUCUCCCGGCCCAACCGGGAAAGUGCCCGGGAUACUGCGGGGCUCGAGCGAGGCAGGGGCGGGGGGAACUUCCGGUGGAGCGGUGAAAUGCGUUGAUAUCGGAAGGAACGCCGGCGGCGAAAGCGCCCCGCUGGGCCUCUCCUGACGCUGAGGCGCGAAAGCCAGGGGAGCAAACGGG